Molecule: long non-coding RNA, 1449 nt
Organism: Manis pentadactyla (Chinese pangolin)
Lineage: Eukaryota; Metazoa; Chordata; Mammalia; Pholidota; Manidae
Exons: 5
Source: RefSeq, a predicted model, not a curated record
GCGCAGUCCGCCUCUGCGCACCCGGGACCCACGUGAUGGUGGUGCUGGAGAGCACGUGGGCUCAAUAAGAGGCUAAGAAUAUGAGAUUUCAGUUCUGAGACGUCUGGGAACGCUGACAGCUAGUCCCUGUCAUCUGCAGGAUCUACUUUUCUUAAGGAUGAGCAUAUUUUGGUCCACAGGUUUCCAAGACAAGCACAUUCCUACCAAUAUGAUCCCUGGACAAGCUGUUCUGGAAUUUGAACUGCUACUGAAAAGGGGUUAAGCCCAGGACACACACCCUCAUUUCGAUUCUGUGCUGCAGUUUCCGUGGUCCUGAACUUUCAGAGCUGUGGAUCAGGCAAUAACCUCUCUCAUCUCCAGUCUCCUCUGCAAGCUUGGGAUUAUAUUACCCCCUCGCAAGAUUGCUCUAAGGAUCAUCUGAACUAAGAUAUGCCAAGUAUUCAGCGCUUUGAUGCAUAGAAUGUGCUCAGAGUGCAUGCCUAGCCUUUCGUGAAGACAGGAUGGCUAUUGUGGCUCUAAGUUAUCGUAAUUUAAAGACAUUUCCAAGUGCUGUUAUGUAGUAAACGUGUGAGAGGAACGUGAAAAUACACGCAGCAUCAUCCUGGUUCCACGAGGCUUGCCAAGCCUGAGGGAAGUCCUCCUGGGGGUGCACUUCAGGCAGCAGGUGCCCGGGGGCGAGGGGCCCGGAGGCGCGCUGUGCGUGGGGGCAGCACCGACGAGGCGGCACAUGAUGCAGUCUUACUCGCUCACCAGUGGAGAGCCCGGGGUGGGCUUCCUCCGUCUUCAGGAGCUGGAAGCUGCUGCCAGCUACUGACACAGAUCAAGAAGAGCAGAGAAACAUGGCAGCUCUUCCCAUGGCUGGAAGGAAGUGUGGUUACCCUGGCAACAGCUUUGACGCACCACCUGGUGAUUUCAAGUCUAACAGCUGUGCAGCAACUGCAUUUCCAUUGAGGAAAUAAAGUGCAUUCAUGCAUCAUCUCAUGGAGGAUUUAAGAAGAAAUGAGCUUGCAAAUCUGGGAGAGGAGGGGAGGAGAGAGCACUGCACACUAGCAGAACCAGCUGAGGUCUAAAAGCCGCACUCAGUCUUGGAAGCAUGCCCCGGUCAGCCAAGGCCCUCUGCCCUAGGGCUGUGGGACUGCAGGGCAGAUUUUCCAUCAGAACGUCACAUAGGCCCAGUAGCCCAAGAACCAUUUUCCUAUCCCUUACUCAAAAUGGGUACUUCUAAGUGAAAUUGCACUCUCCAUCCCAACAGGCAUUAAAACAAAACGGUUGUGCACCUGUCAUUGUGAGAGCAGAGGGAUGUGAAUAAACAGUGUGCUGUUUUGUGCUUGUUUCUCACUGCCCCUAAUUUUCCCAAAGUGUUAGGACCUCCUGGAGAUCUAGUCAUAUUAAAAAAGCCAGACCCUGUGGAGGUUUCCAACAGAGUGAGUUUUACAGGCACAUCCGAAU